GAGUGGCGGACGGGUGAGUAACACGUGGGUAACCUGCCCUUAAGUGGGGGAUAACAUUUGGAAACAGAUGCUAAUACCGCAUAGAUCCAAGAACCGCAKGGUUCUUGGCUGAAAGAUGGCGUAAGCUAUCGCUUUUGGAUGGACCCGCGGCGUAUUAGCUAGUUGGUGAGGUAAUGGCUCACCAAGGCGAUGAUACGUAGCCGAACUGAGAGGUUGAUCGGCCACAUUGGGACUGAGACACGGCCCAAACUCCUACGGGAGGCAGCAGUAGGGAAUCUUCCACAAUGGACGCAAGUCUGAUGGAGCAACGCCGCGUGAGUGAAGAAGGCUUUCGGGUCGUAAAACUCUGUUGUUGGAGAAGAAUGGUCGGCAGAGUAACUGUUGUCGGCGUGACGGUAUCCAACCAGAAAGCCACGGCUAACUACGUGCCAGCAGCCGCGGUAAUACGUAGGUGGCAAGCGUUAUCCGGAUUUAUUGGGCGUAAAGCGAGCGCAGGCGGUUUUUUAAGUCUGAUGUGAAAGCCCUCGGCUUAACCGAGGAAGCGCAUCGGAAACUGGGAAACUUGAGUGCAGAAGAGGACAGUGGAACUCCAUGUGUAGCGGUGAAAUGCGUAGAUAUAUGGAAGAACACCAGUGGCGAAGGCGGCUGUCUGGUCUGUAACUGACGCUGAGGCUCGAAAGCAUGGGUAGCGAACAGGAUUAGAUACCCUGGUAGUCCAUGCCGUAAACGAUGAAUGCUAGGUGUUGGAGGGUUUCCGCCCUUCAGUGCCGCAGCUAACGCAUUAAGCAUUCCGCCUGGGGAGUACGACCGCAAGGUUGAAACUCAAAGGAAUUGACGGGGGCCCGCACAAGCGGUGGAGCAUGUGGUUUAAUUCGAAGCAACGCGAAGAACCUUACCAGGUCUUGACAUCUUUUGAUCACCUGAGAGAUCAGGUUUCCCCUUCGGGGGCAAAAUGACAGGUGGUGCAUGGUUGUCGUCAGCUCGUGUCGUGAGAUGUUGG
RNAcentral lists this ribosomal RNA (1000 nucleotides) under Lacticaseibacillus paracasei. Its description in RNAcentral is "bacterial SSU rRNA". It matches the Rfam family "Bacterial small subunit ribosomal RNA", at positions 93 to 1078 of the family's 1533-position model. The record is from RNAcentral. Lineage: Bacteria; Bacillati; Bacillota; Bacilli; Lactobacillales; Lactobacillaceae.